UUGCCCUAGUAACGGCGAGUGAAGCGGCAACAGCUCAAAUUUGAAAUCUGGCCCUAGCGGUCCGAGUUGUAAUUUGUAGAGGAUGCUUUUGGUGCGGCGCCUUCCGAGUUCCCUGGAACGGGACGCCGGAGAGGGUGAGAGCCCCGUACGGUUGGACGCCUAGCCUCUGUAUAGCUCCUUCGACGAGUCGAGUAGUUUGGGAAUGCUGCUCUAAAUGGGAGGUAAAUUUCUUCUAAAGCUAAAUACCGGCCAGAGACCGAUAGCGCACAAGUAGAGUGAUCGAAAGAUGAAAAGCACUUUGAAAAGAGGGUUAAAUAGCACGUGAAAUUGUUGAAAGGGAAGCGUUUGCGACCAGACUUUUUCCGGGCGGAUCAUCCGGUGUUUAGGCCGGUGCACUCCGUUCGGUUUAGGCCAGCAUCGGUUCUCUUAGGGGGAUAAAGGCUUAGGGCACGUGGCUCCUUCUGGAGUGUUAUAGCCCUUCGCGUAAUACCCCUCGGGGGACCGAGGUACGCGCUCUGCAAGGAUGCUGGCGUAAUGGUCGUCAACGACCCGUCUUGAAACACGGACCAAGGAGUCGAACAUUUGUGCGAGUGUUUGGGUGUUAAACCCUCACGCGUAAUGAAAGUGAACGGAGGUGAGAGCCCUUCGGGGUGCAUCAUCGACCGAUCCUGAUGUCUUCGGAUGGAUUUGAGUAAGAGCAUAACUGUUCGGACCCGAAAGAUGGUGAACUAUGCGUGGAUAGGGUGAAGCCAGAGGAAACUCUGGUGGAGGCUCGCAGCGGUUCUGACGUGCAAAUCGAUCGUCAAAUCUGCGCAUGGGGGCGAAA
RNAcentral lists this ribosomal RNA (826 nucleotides) under Hypoxylon mangrovei. RNAcentral describes it as "partial large subunit ribosomal RNA". It matches the Rfam family "Eukaryotic large subunit ribosomal RNA", at positions 75 to 928 of the family's 3401-position model. The record is from RNAcentral. Lineage: Eukaryota; Fungi; Ascomycota; Sordariomycetes; Xylariales; Hypoxylaceae.